CUGGGGCUGAAGAAUGGACUUGCAAGAUGGCCUCACUAACAUGGCUGGCAAGCUGGUGUUGACUGUUGGCUUGAAGCUCAGCUGGGGCUGUUAACCAGUGGCCUCACUUCCUUUCUGCUUGGCCUCUCCACAUGGCUAGAUUGGACUUCUCACAGGGAGGCAGUCUCUGGAUAUUCAAACUUCUUACAUGGUGGCUGGCUUCUUCUAAAAUACAAAAAUGAAAGCUGCCAGGCCUUUGUAAGGCUUAGAAUUGAACUGGCACCCUGUCACUUCCUCCAUGAUCUAUUGGUUAAAGAAGGUCACAGAACCAGCCCAGAUUCAAGGAGCGGGGAACAAUCCAAGGACAUGAAUAUUGCUGUAUUUCCGGAACUGGAGCAAGAAUCAGUGUUGAGAGGGAUUGGUAGCCGACUUCCCGUGACUGACCAGCCUCUCAUUAGCUCUGCCUGACUGCAGACCCUCCAGCCCUGACAAGUCCUCCAGCAGCUCGUUGGCCUGAGCACCCACUCCUGCCUCUGCUAAGAAAACCAACCACCAGGACUCCCAGAUAGUAUCAAGAAACUGAAACUCACCAGAUCACUGCCUCUGGACCAUGAGAUGUCAGAUCCCUCACCUGUCACGAUUGCCUAACUGACCACCUGCUUCCUGUUGACCAUCUCCUCUUCCCUACCCUCCUUAGUUCUUGUUUUCCCAUACAUUGUUACAUUUCUUCCUUGCUCUAUAAACCUCUAAUUACAGUCAGUUGGGGAGAUGGAUGUGGGACUGAUCUCCCAUCUCCUUGGCUGCAGCACCCAAUUAAACCUUCUUUCCUGGCAA
Molecule: long non-coding RNA, 813 nt
Organism: Homo sapiens (human)
Lineage: Eukaryota; Metazoa; Chordata; Mammalia; Primates; Hominidae
Exons: 4
Source: RefSeq, a predicted model, not a curated record